UAACGCGUGAGGAACCUGCCUUUCAGAGGGGGACAACAGCUGGAAACGGCUGCUAAUACCGCAUAACACAUAGGUGUCGCAUGGCAUUUAUGUCAAAGAUUUAUCGCUGAGAGAUGGCCUCGCGUCUGAUUAGCUAGUUGGUAGGGUAACGGCCUACCAAGGCGACGAUCAGUAGCCGGACUGAGAGGUUGGCCGGCCACAUUGGGACUGAGAUACGGCCCAGACUCCUACGGAAGGCAGCAG
Molecule: ribosomal RNA, 243 nt
Filed under: uncultured bacterium
Lineage: Bacteria
Description: partial 16S ribosomal RNA
Rfam family: Bacterial small subunit ribosomal RNA
Source: RNAcentral